GAUGAACGCUGGCGGCGUGCCUAACACAUGCAAGUCGAACGGAGUCCAGCCUUAGAGACCUUCGGGUCAAAGAGGGGAAGACUGAGUGGCGGACGGGUGAGUAACACGUGGGCAACCUGGCUCAUAGAGGGGGAUAACAGAGAGAAAUUUCUGCUAAUACCGCAUAAGCACACACUGCCGCAUGGCAGAGUGUGAAAAGAGAAUCGCUAUGAGAUGGACCCGCGUCUGAUUAGCCAGUUGGCAGGGUAAGAGCCUACCAAAGCGACGAUCAGUAGCCGAUUUGAGAGGAUGAACGGCCACAUUGAGACUGAGACACGGCACAAACUCCUACGGGAGGCAGCAGUGGGUGAUAUUGCACAAUGGGGGGAACCCUGAUGCAGCGACGCCGCGUGAGUGAAGAAGUAUUUCGGUAUGUAAAGCUCUAUCAGCAGGGAAGAUAAUGACAGUACCUGAAUAAGAAGCCCCGGCUAACUACGUG
Molecule: ribosomal RNA, 478 nt
Filed under: uncultured bacterium
Lineage: Bacteria
Description: partial 16S ribosomal RNA
Rfam family: Bacterial small subunit ribosomal RNA
Source: RNAcentral